RNAcentral lists this ribosomal RNA (723 nucleotides) under Leptosphaerulina sp. SCSGAF0183. Its description in RNAcentral is "eukaryotic LSU rRNA". The stretch from base 349 to 502 matches the Rfam family "5.8S ribosomal RNA". The record is from RNAcentral. Lineage: Eukaryota; Fungi; Ascomycota; Dothideomycetes; Pleosporales; Didymellaceae.
GGGCCUGUUCUGAGCUAUGCGCUUGGGGGGCCACCAGCUGUUCCGGCAGCUCCCCCGGGCGUAUGCUUUAGCGGAUGCGUGGCGGCCCUCGGGGCCCCGUGCCGCCCGCCUUUGCUGCAGACACCUCGGUGGGGCUGCAGCGGGUCGGACGGGUUGCUGGCCGCUGCUGCUCUCGACAGCACGCAGCGCGCCUCGCGGGAACGAGCCUCGGCGGCCGACGCGCACAGCUGCAUCCUUGCUAUUACGAGUACCUACCGUUCUCCUUCGGCGGGGCGACCUGCCGUUGGAACCAACACGCACCCUUCUUUUGCAUCUAGCAUUACCUGUUCCGACGCAAACAAUCGUUACAACUUUCAACAAUGGAUCUCUUGGCUCUGGCAUCGAUGAAGAACGCAGCGAAAUGCGAUAAGUAGUGUGAAUUGCAGAAUUCAGUGAAUCAUCGAAUCUUUGAACGCACAUUGCGCCCCUCGGUAUUCCGUGGGGCAUGCCUGUUCGAGCGUCAUCUACACCCUCAAGCUCUGCUUGGUGUUGGGCGUCUGUCCCGCCUUCGCGCGCGGACUCGCCCCAAAUGCAUUGGCAGCGGUCCUUGCCCCCUCCCGCGCAGCACAUUGCGCUUCUCGAGGCUGCGGCGGCCCGCGUCCAACAAGCUGAACCCCCCCCGUCUUUGACCUCGGAUCAGGUAGGGAUACCCGCUGAACUUAAGCAUAUCAAUAAGCGGAGGAA